RNAcentral lists this ribosomal RNA (430 nucleotides) under uncultured bacterium. RNAcentral's name for it is "bacterial SSU rRNA". It matches the Rfam family "Bacterial small subunit ribosomal RNA", at positions 355 to 776 of the family's 1533-position model. The record is from RNAcentral.
UCGAGAGGCUUCGGCAAUGGGGGAAACCCUGACCGAGCGACGCCGCGUGGGGGAUGAAGGCCCUUGGGUUGUAAACCCCUUUUGUUCGGGAAGAAAUGCGAUCAGGUGAAUAAUCUGGUCGUUUGACGGUACCGGACGAAUAAGCUCCGGCUAACUCCGUGCCAGCAGCCGCGGUAACACGGGGGGAGCAAGCGUUGUUCGGAAUCACUGGGCGUAAAGGGCGUGUAGGCGGUCAGGUAAGUGAAAUGUGAAAUGCCUCGGCUCACCCGAGGACCGGCAUCUCAUACUGCCUGACUUGAGUACGGGAGAGGAUGUGGGAAUUCCUGGUGUAGCGGUGAAAUGCGUAGAUAUCAGGAGGAACACCGGUGGCGAAGGCGCACAUCUGGCCCGAUACUGACGCUGAGGCGCGAAAGCUAGGGGAGCAAACGGG